Molecule: long non-coding RNA, 325 nt
Organism: Carassius gibelio (silver crucian carp)
Lineage: Eukaryota; Metazoa; Chordata; Actinopteri; Cypriniformes; Cyprinidae
Exons: 3
Source: RefSeq, a predicted model, not a curated record
GACGGUGUUGCCGUGGAAACAGUGCUGGUGUUGGCUGGACAGUACGGCCGGCUUUAUCGGACGACACGGCGUCUCUUCCCUCUGACGGGUCUGGACAGCGUUUUCUGGAUCACAACACAAACACGAGUUACUGCGGCUCAGUGUGAGGUGUGCGCGGGGUGUGUGUGAGAGAAGUGUGUGUAUGAGGUGUGCGCGGGGUGUGUCUGAGGUGUGUUUGCGUGGUGUGUAUGAGGUGUGUGUGUGGUGUGUAUGAGGUGUGUGUGUGGUGUGUAUGAGGUGUGUUUGCGUGGUGUGUAUGAGGUGUGUGUGUGGUGUGUAUGAGGUG